UACACGCUGUGACUAGCAUAUCAAUAAGCGGAGGAAAAGAAACUAACAAGGAUUCCCCUAGUAACGGCGAGUGAAGCGGGAAGAGCUCAAAUUUGAAAUCUUAAAGGGUUUCCCUUUACGAAUUGUAGUUUAAAGAAGUGUUUUCUGUUGAGGUUUUGGUAAAAGUUCUUUGGAAUAGGACAUCAUAGAGGGUGAGAAUCUCGUAUUUGACCUUUACUUUCAACUUUGUGAUACACUUUCAAAGAGUCGGAUUGUUUGGGAAUGCAGUCCAAAAUGGGUGGUAAAUUUCAUCUAAAGCUAAAUAUUGGCGAGAGACCGAUAGCGAACAAGUACCGUGAGGGAAAGAUGAAAAGAACUUUGAAAAGAGAGUUAAACAGUACGUGAAGUUGUCAAAAGGGAAGCGUUUGACACCAGUGUUGUUUUUCUGAAAAUCAAUUAAAGAACUGUUUAUGCUAAGCUGUUUAGACUUUAUCAGCUAUCUGUUUAGUUUUGAGCUUUUCUUUAAUGCACUUUUCAGUUAACAAGUCAACAUCAAUUUCUUUUGCUGUAAAAAAGCUUGAGGAAGGUGGCUUGAGAUUCGUCUUAAGUGUUUAUAGCCUCUUGCCUAUGCAGUCGGAGAGAUUGAGGUCUGCAGCGUAGAUCCUUCGGGGCUAAAUGCAUUUGUGCUAAGUUAUAGCAUUUUAUAGACAACUUGUUGACUAUGAUUUGUCUUGUAGCUUACUCGCUUAUGUUAUUUUACCUACGCUUAGGAUGUUGAUAUGCAUGACUGAUAU
RNAcentral lists this ribosomal RNA (773 nucleotides) under uncultured Neocallimastigales. Its description in RNAcentral is "partial large subunit ribosomal RNA". It matches the Rfam family "Eukaryotic large subunit ribosomal RNA", at positions 22 to 640 of the family's 3401-position model. Lineage: Eukaryota; Fungi; Neocallimastigomycota; Neocallimastigomycetes; Neocallimastigales. The record is from RNAcentral.